Molecule: transfer RNA, 73 nt
Filed under: Alosa alosa (allis shad)
Lineage: Eukaryota; Metazoa; Chordata; Actinopteri; Clupeiformes; Clupeidae
Description: tRNA-OTHER
Source: RNAcentral
GCACCUGUGGUCUACUGGUUAGGGCUUCGGACUUGUAACCGGAGGGUUGCCUGUUCGAACCCAACUGGUCGCA